AUAUAUAUAGACGAAGAUCAACAUGCAUAAAGGUAUCAUCUAUUAGUAGAAAACUAAAUCAAGAAUCUGAGAUAUUAUUGGAAUUGAUCUGAAAUAGGUAGCUAGCAGUACGUGUAGUGUUUGAUUAUCUAGUGAUCAGAUCAGUUAGCAGCGAGCUGAUCUGAGCAUGGCGGAAACGGUGUUUGGUAAUCCUCUGGUUGUGAUCAGCCCGGAAUACUGUGCCCCUCACCAUCUUCAAAUCUCAAUCAAGAAAAAGGUUUACUUUUUGGCUACCCACGGAUAUGAAGUCAAAGAUGCUGCCAAUGGCACAAUCCUCUUCAAAGUCGAAAACAUCCCUACUUUCUUCGACACCAAGGUCGUCGUCUUUGAUCCCGCCGGAAACUCCAUCCUCACUAUCCGACGAAAGGCAUUUACAUUGCGAACCAGAUGGGAAGUUUACAGGGGAGAAAGCAAAAAGGAGAAAGACCUGAUCUUCAGCGCAAGAAAAUCUUCGGCGUUCCAGUUCACCACAAACCUAGACGUGUUCUUAGCCGGCAACACAUCGGAACAAGUCUGCGAUUAUAAGAUGAAGACAAGCUACUCGGAGUCGACGUGCGAUAUCUACGUUAAACCAUCUUCUACCUUAAUUGCUCAGAUGCAGAAGAAAGUGACGGCGGGGAGUUUAUUCCUGGGAAAGGAUAAUUUCACGGUGACGCUGCACCCAAACGUGGAUCAAGCUUUCAUCGUUGCUCUUAUAGUAAUUCUCCAAGAGAUCGUCGACUCAAGAAGAAGAAAUCACACUUCUCAUCACCAUUGAACAUACAUGAUGAACUGAUAGAUCGAAGUAGGGAUAUAUAACAGUUCGUCGUGGUUGGCGUCUUCCUUUUAUAUAUCUGCUAUUCUUUUAUUAUUUAAUCAUGAGUAGAUCUACUUGAUGCUAUAAACCUUUGAAAUUUUAGUUUUAACCAUUUUGUGGGGGUGUGUAUUGUUUAUUGUUCUUGAAAUGUUUCAUGAUGUAAUUACUUGUAAAUUAUAUUGUAUUAGCACUUCAAUUUAA
RNA transcript from Ipomoea nil (Japanese morning glory), 1036 nucleotides. It is a transcript of the gene named protein LURP-one-related 10-like, with no coding region annotated. The record is from RefSeq and is a predicted model, not a curated record. Lineage: Eukaryota; Viridiplantae; Streptophyta; Magnoliopsida; Solanales; Convolvulaceae. The transcript is spliced from 4 exons.